UACGGAGGGUGCAAGCGUUAAUCGGAAUUACUGGGCGUAAAGCGCGCGUAGGCGGCUAAGUAAGUCGGGUGUGAAAGCCCCGGGCUCAACCUGGGAACUGCAUCCGAUACUGUUUAGCUAGAGUAUGAGAGAGGGAGGUAGAAUUCCACGUGUAGCGGUGAAAUGCGUAGAUAUGUGGAGGAAUACCGGUGGCGAAGGCGGCCUCCUGGCUCAAUACUGACGCUGAGGUGCGAAAGCGUGGGGAUCAAACAGG
Molecule: ribosomal RNA, 253 nt
Filed under: uncultured Alteromonadales bacterium
Lineage: Bacteria; Pseudomonadati; Pseudomonadota; Gammaproteobacteria; Alteromonadales
Description: partial 16S ribosomal RNA
Rfam family: Bacterial small subunit ribosomal RNA
Source: RNAcentral